Molecule: ribosomal RNA, 253 nt
Filed under: uncultured bacterium
Lineage: Bacteria
Description: partial 16S ribosomal RNA
Rfam family: Bacterial small subunit ribosomal RNA
Source: RNAcentral
UACGUAGGGUGCGAGCGUUAAUCGGAAUUACUGGGCGUAAAGUGUGCGCAGGCGGCCGAGCAAGUCGAGUGUGAAAGCCCCGAGCUUAACUUGGGAACUGCGCUCGAAACUACUUGGCUAGAGUGUGGCAGAGGGAGGUGGAAUUCCACGUGUAGCGGUGAAAUGCGUAGAGAUGUGGAGGAACACCGAUGGCGAAGGCAGCCUUCUGGGCCAACACUGACGCUCAUGCACGAAAGCGUGGGGAGCAAACAGG